AGAACGAACGCUGGCGGCAUGCCUAACACAUGCAAGUCGAACGAGACCUUCGGGUCUAGUGGCGCACGGGUGCGUAACGCGUGGGAAUCUGCCCCUUGGUUCGGAAUAACAGUUAGAAAUGACUGCUAAUACCGGAUGACGACGUAAGUCCAAAGAUUUAUCGCCGAGGGAUGAGCCCGCGUAGGAUUAGCUAGUUGGUGAGGUAAUGGCUCACCAAGGCGACGAUCCUUAGCUGGUCUGAGAGGAUGAUCAGCCACACUGGGACUGAGACACGGCCCAGACUCCUACGGGAGGCAGCAGUGGGGAAUAUUGGACAAUGGGCGAAAGCCUGAUCCAGCAAUGCCGCGUGAGUGAUGAAGGCCUUAGGGUUGUAAAGCUCUUUACCAGGGAUGAUAAUGACAGUACCUGGAGAAUAAGCUCCGGCUAACUCCGUGCCAGCAGCCGC
This 445-nucleotide ribosomal RNA is filed under the name uncultured bacterium. Its description in RNAcentral is "SSU rRNA". It matches the Rfam family "Bacterial small subunit ribosomal RNA", at positions 26 to 518 of the family's 1533-position model. The record is from RNAcentral.